ACAUCAUAAACCAAAACUUGGAUUAUAAUCAUAUGAAGAGAAGUAUUACACUGAUAAAGUAUAUAAUCAUAGAUAUUAUAAACCAUUAUGAACAUUAAAAUAAGCUUUAUAAAGAUAUGGAUGGCAAUGGUAAACAUAAUCUCAGAUUUAAUUUGCUCAGUGAAAAUAAAGAUGUUUCUUAAAGAUGGCUUCAAAUUCUUACUUGCACCUCCAACUAAAAUUAUUUUGCUCAUAAAUAAUCAACAAACUACAUCAUCAGAUUUGAUCUUCUUAUUGCUAGAUGCAUCAUAAUCGUUCCAGUUUCUAAUCAAUCUUCUUGUCAUAGUCAUUCCUGCACUUGCACUUACAACAGACGAAACACGUGUUCUUGGUGAUCAUAUAAGCCUUGUAAUAAAAAAUAGUAAUCAAACACGAGAAUUAACAAGAUUCACAAGUGAGAACAAAUACAAAAAGUUUUAGAGCAUAUACGUGACUUUUUUCCUAUGUCAUUUCUUCUUGUAAUCAGAAGCAAAAUACCAAGUUUAGACAAACCCUAGAAACUCCAAACACUUGAACAAACGUUAUAUUAUUUUUCCAACUAUCACAGAUAAUCAUAAUCAACAAAGCUUUAAUAAUUAUAUGAUCACAGGACAUCAUUAUUUUAAUCCUCAAUGCUCAAAAAAUUAAGAAUCACAAUCAAAUUUUGGUUAUUACCCUAAGUUGAUUGCUUAGAAUUACCAGUACUAACUUUAAAAGCAAAUCCAAACAGCCCUAAAUUGAUAAGUUUAGGGAAAAACAUGAGAGCAACAUUUUUUAGAUAAAAUCUAAAAACAUGUAUGCCAAUUUAGAAUUUUGAUUGAAAGCAAAAUUGAUGCGCAAAAACCAUAUAUAUUCAAGAAAUAAUGUCAUAGCUUUACUUCUAAUAGAAAAACAUGUAUAGAAGAAGAAAACUACUUACGAAGAGGCCAGUGAGGAGUGGUGGUCUCAAAGAAACGCAUCUAAUUCCAAAUGUAGAACCUGCAAAAAGAACCAUCAAAAUUAAUGAUAUAGGACAGAAAUCAAGAGUUUGAAGGAUAGAAAAUAUAAGGUACUUGCAAUGAUAAGCCUUCCACCAGUAGAUGACAACUGCAACUCAUAUUCUGAUCUAUUACCAAAAGGGCAUUUAUGUCUUUUUGCAUAGUAAUGAAGUAAUAUAAAGUAAUGAGUACUGACCUUGACUUGCUUAAUGAAAGAAACAACAUUCAACAUUCCACUUCUUGAUAAUCAGACCAAAUUAAAGCGUUAUAAGAAGAGAUUUAGGGAUUUAAAACAUAAUAGGAAGAUAUAAAUCAUAAUUAGAAGAGAUAUAUCUCUACAUCUAUAGUAUUGACACUUCCCUUAUGCAUGAUUUAGAUCUUUAGCAAGCUCAUAUGAAUCAAUACCAAUCGAAUGUAGUGAUUGCAUGUAAUCAAACCUGAAAAAAAAAUGAAAUUCCUCAACAUUUUUAUAUCCCCUUCUUAAUUACAAUUGAGAACAAAUUUGUGGAAAUACUUAUCAAAAAUAUCAUAUUUAAACAUGGAGGAUGAAAUAGCAAUCACCUUGAACAUGAAUGGAAGAUCAACUCCUAACUUAUCAACAAGAGUAUCGCCUAAUCAGCAAUCUCAAAUGAAACAUGUUUAGGGCUUACCUUUACACUCGAUUAUAGGCUUCUAAGCUCUUGUACCGUUGAGAUGAAGACCCAAAAAAAACCGAGAAAACACCAAUGGGGAUAUGGGGCUAUUUCGUGAGAAACUCUCCGAAAAAUGUUAUGAUAGGAGACGGAAGGAGCCUAAUGGAAACGAUCCUGGAAUUCUUAAUUCCAUCUCAACUGGAUUCGUGAUCUGACUUGGCACCUUAUCCAGAUCGACGGUUCUAUAUUGUUUUCUCCACAAAAUCGUCAGUACCUUGAUUAUGAAGAGAAGUUGUUCAUACUAUUUUCAAGCAGUCAAUAGAGGAUGAACAGGGGUCAGGGGAAACACGAUCGAUGAUAUAGGCUAAGGCGCGAUGUGGAGGAGCCAGGGUGGAGGGACGGAUAGGCAACGAGAUCACAUGAGAGAAAAACUAAAGAACGAACCCUAGUGGUUUAGAUUAUGUUGGGGGUAAUCGGAAUUUGGAAACCUAAGCGGGAUGUGAGUUGAUUUUCAAUAUUCAGGAUUGACAUCUUCGAUUGUCGAUAGCAGACGUUUGGAUCGAUGGUGCAAUGGAGAACGCGAUUGGAAUUUCCGAUAUCCCUCAUGGCCUAAGGGUUUCAACAUUGAAGAUAAUAGAUACAUUAGGUUUAGAGAGGAGGGAAUUACUAAAUCUAAAAUUUUUCAGGUAGAGGGAAUCUUAAACUUUUGGAAUGGAA
Molecule: long non-coding RNA, 2344 nt
Filed under: Lactuca sativa (garden lettuce)
Lineage: Eukaryota; Viridiplantae; Streptophyta; Magnoliopsida; Asterales; Asteraceae
Description: long non-coding RNA (LSAT_LNC001711)
Source: RNAcentral